Molecule: signal recognition particle RNA, 148 nt
Filed under: Nomascus leucogenys (northern white-cheeked gibbon)
Lineage: Eukaryota; Metazoa; Chordata; Mammalia; Primates; Hylobatidae
Description: Metazoan signal recognition particle RNA
Rfam family: Metazoan signal recognition particle RNA
About the family: The signal recognition particle (SRP) is a universally conserved ribonucleoprotein. It is involved in the co-translational targeting of proteins to membranes.
Source: Rfam by way of RNAcentral
GCCAGGCAUGGUGGCACACACCUGUAGUCCUAGCUACUCAGGAGGCUGAGGCAGGAGGAUCACUUGAGCCCAGGAGUUCGAGACUGCAGUGAGCUAUGAUUGAGCCACUGCACUCCAGCCUGGGCAACAAAGCAAGAUCCUGUCUCAA